GGUAUAGCCAAGUUGGUAAGGCGCCAGACUCUGACUCUGGUCAUCGUAGGUUCGAGUCCUACUACC
This 66-nucleotide transfer RNA is filed under the name uncultured Garciella sp. It matches the Rfam family "tRNA". Rfam says of the family: Transfer RNA (tRNA) molecules are approximately 80 nucleotides in length. Their secondary structure includes four short double-helical elements and three loops (D, anti-codon, and T loops). The record is from RNAcentral. Lineage: Bacteria; Bacillati; Bacillota; Clostridia; Eubacteriales; Eubacteriaceae.